This 1081-nucleotide unclassified non-coding RNA is filed under the name Agrilus planipennis (emerald ash borer). RNAcentral's name for it is "zinc finger protein 596-like, transcript variant X2". Lineage: Eukaryota; Metazoa; Arthropoda; Insecta; Coleoptera; Buprestidae. The record is from RNAcentral.
CGUCUGUAUAACCUUAUAUUUUUAAAACAUAAAUACAGUUAAAAAACAAUUAUUUUUAAAGUAAUGGAGUAUAUAAAUAUUAAACAAAUGUGUAGAAUAUGUUUAAACAUAAAGGAAGAACAUGAAAUGUUUUCAGUUUACAACAUUGCUGAAAAAAUUAUGAGUUUUACAACAAUAGAAGUGGAUAACUAAAAGUGAUGGCCUUCCAGGUUUCAUAUGUUUAAAAUGUUAUGAGGUAGCUAAUAUUGCUUAUACCUUUAAGCAGCAGUGUGAAAAGUCCGAGCAUUUGUUAAAAUCUGAUGAAACUAUCUUAGAAAAGGUUAAUGCAUUAAAACAACAAGAGGGGCGACUAAACGUCUUCAAAGUGAAGUUUCAAAAGCAGGAUAUUUUUAGUAUUAUACUACGUGAAAAUUUCAUAAAGCCCAUAAAAGUUUCAGCAUUAAAGAAGAAUACCUGUAAAGAUAUUCACUUAAAAAAAAAUAUCACUGUAAAUGAUUCUUUUGAGACAAGUCAUGAUAGUGAUCAGUAUAAUGGGGAAGAUAAUGAUGAAUUCAAGGACUUGACAUGUCGUUUUUGCAAUUUUAAAGCAAAUACUUGGAAAGUACGAUAUAAACAUGAAAUAACCCAUGGGAAAGGAAUUGACUGUUACCUAUGUGGAAAAGAAUUUACGUCGCUCAGAACAAUGACAAAUCAUUUACUUCAUCAUAAACGUAAAGGUGCCUUUCCCUGUUUAACUUGCGGCAAAAAGUUUACCCUCCAAGAAAAUUUAUCAAAACAUAUGAAAAGACAUUUAGGCAUUCGUCCGUACUCCUGCGCUAUUUGUAACAAGUCGUUUACAGAAAGGAGUGAACUGAGAAUACAUUUAGCAAGCCACAGCCAGGAAAAGCGAUUUCUAUGUAAUAUGUGCGGUAAUAAAUAUUCACGAAAGAGACUUUUAACAAUGCAUAUCGAGAAACACCAUCCCGAACCAGGAAAAGCUCUACUCCUUUGUACAUUAUGUGGGAAAGGCUAUAAAGAUUUACGAUUGCACAUGUUGUUUCAUAAAAACGAAAGGAAAUACGUGUGUAAAGUAUGUUCAAAA